UUGGGGUCUCCAAAAAGAAUUAGGAUGAUUCCUCCAAUCUUAGUUAUAUGUGUUAGAGAAUGAAUCAUUGACAGGCUUGGAGUAACUUUGGACAGCUUGAACUUAUUCUUGGACGAAGGGUGGAAAUGGUGCAACCAUGGGAUAUUCACUUACAUGAUGGGUUGGGCUAGCACAGAUAGAAUAAAUCUCCUGAUAAUUAAAAGGUGGUAUGCAUUGCGCAAGAGAUUGUUGAUCUAGGACUAGGCAUUUAUCUAUAAGAAGGUCGACUUUAUCUAAUUUUUGGACUAUCAAGUUCAAAUCGGUCUUAGGACUAGAGUCAGAAUAUUUGAUCCCAUAGAAUGAUGAAAACAUUAAUGGGUUAUAGGUGGAAGGAAUAAAAUAUUCCUUCAUCUGCCUAGGUGGUUCUCAAGAUUUUCAGCCAGUUGAGUAUUAGGUUUAACAUGGAUCAACC
RNAcentral lists this long non-coding RNA (451 nucleotides) under Elaeis guineensis (African oil palm). Its description in RNAcentral is "long non-coding RNA (EGUI_LNC029743)". Lineage: Eukaryota; Viridiplantae; Streptophyta; Magnoliopsida; Arecales; Arecaceae. The record is from RNAcentral.